CGGGCUACUAUAUCCAAAGAUACACACACACACCAGCCCUGGCUACUAUAUCCAAAGAUACACACACACACCAGCCCGGGCUACUAUAUCCAAAGAUACACACACACACCAGCCCUGGCCACUAUAUCCAAAGAUACACACACACCAGCCCGGGCUACUAUAUCCAAAGAAACACACACACCAGCCCGGGCUACUAUAUCCAAAGAUACACACACACACCAGUCCGGGCUACUAUAUCCAAAGAUACACACACACACCAGCCCGGGCUACUAUAUCCAAAGAUACACACACACCAGCCCGGGCUACUAUAUCCAAAGAUACACACACACCAGCCCGGGCUACUAUAUCCAAAGAUACACACACACCAGCCCUGGCCACUAUAUCCAAAGAUACACACACACCAGCCCGGGCUACUAUAUCCAAAGAUACACACACACACCAGCCCUGGCUACUAUAUCCAAAGAUACACACACACACCAGCCCGGGCUACUAUAUCCAAAGAUACACACACACACCAGCCCUGGCCACUAUAUCCAAAGAUACACACACACCAGCCCGGGCUACUAUAUCCAAAGAAACACACACACCAGCCCGGGCUACUAUAUCCAAAGAUACACACACACACCAGUCCGGGCUACUAUAUCCAAAGAUACACACACACACCAGCCCGGGCUACUAUAUCCAAAGAUACACACACACCAGCCCGGGCUACUAUAUCCAAAGAUACACACACACCAGCCCGGGCUACUAUAUCCAAAGAUACACACACACCAGCCCUGGCCACUAUAUCCAAAGAUACACACACACCAGCCCGGGCUACUAUAUCCAAAGAUACACACACACCAGCCCGGGCUACUAUAUCCAAAGAUACACACACACCAGCCCGGGCUACUAUAUCCAAAGAUACACACACACCAGCCCGGGCUACUAUAUCCAAAGAUACACACACACCAGCCCUGGCCACUAUAUCCAAAGAUACACACACACCAGCCCGGGCUACUAUAUCCAAAGAUACACACACACCAGCCCUGGCCACUAUAUCCAAAGAUACACACACACCAGCCCGGGCUACUAUAUCCAAAGAUACACACACACCAGCCCGGGCUACUAUAUCCAAAGAUACACACAC
RNAcentral lists this long non-coding RNA (1129 nucleotides) under Oncorhynchus kisutch (coho salmon). Its description in RNAcentral is "lncRNA (ENSOKIG00005027090.1)". Lineage: Eukaryota; Metazoa; Chordata; Actinopteri; Salmoniformes; Salmonidae. The record is from RNAcentral.